GGCAGAUUCGCUUUUACUUCACUGCUCUUGUUCCUUUGACAUAUACUGUUUGAUCUGGAAUACCAACUACUUGUGUGAGAUACUGUACAGUACUGGAGACAUAUAACCAUCUAUGUAACUUAUUCUAUUUGAAGAAACAUUCAGGGGCAUUUUUGCAACUGUUCAGACAUUUGGGCCCUGCAGGCCUCCAGAAGGAAAUGACCCAUGCUGGAGGGAGUUACCACUGCACAUCUGCAUUUCCUCCAAAUUGUUUCUAAAGAUGGCACACCUGAGCCCUUGUGAACAUUCACUUUACAUCCGAUGGUCCUGCUGAGUGGGCCAGGCAUACACUUGAUUUCCAUCAGGAGAUGUCCUCGGUAACAGCAGGAGAGGGGUGCAACUCUUGCUUCACAAAAGCCAUGGAAUUGAGAGCUUUUCAUUUUGUCGCCUGCCAUCAUCUAAAGCGGGCCAGACAGCUGUGAAUGAGAGAACGCCUUCCGGCCACCUUCUUCACCCAUUAUAAUCUUAUAUGACAGAGCCUUGGGACUAUUCUGGAACUGGCUGGACCCCCAGAGCACCAAACAGAGACACAAACAGAAUGGCAGAAAUAGAGAGCGAUGCCUGCUGAGACCUCUUCUUCCAUGAAGCCUUGUCCUUCUUUUCUUUAGCUGCAUGUUUGACACUCUAAUAUUUCUUUAGCUGUAUUGACAUGUUAUUAUGCAGAGGUCCUCAGUUAAGGGUCACUGAAGGUCUUACAAGGUAUCAUCGACAGCUGCUGGACUCAAAUGUCACUUUGUGCUCUUAGAUUAACCUUUGGUGGAUUGGACCAUGAGGUGCCCUCAGAAAUGUAAGCAGAAUUUCCCAUAGGCUUGUGGGAUUGGGAUGGUAGAAUGAACACAUUUGUUUGACUAAAA
Molecule: long non-coding RNA, 893 nt
Organism: Cyprinus carpio carpio
Lineage: Eukaryota; Metazoa; Chordata; Actinopteri; Cypriniformes; Cyprinidae
Source: Ensembl